This 428-nucleotide ribosomal RNA is filed under the name uncultured bacterium. RNAcentral describes it as "bacterial SSU rRNA". It matches the Rfam family "Bacterial small subunit ribosomal RNA", at positions 354 to 796 of the family's 1533-position model. The record is from RNAcentral.
GUAGGGAAUAUUGCGCAAUGGACGAAAGUCUGACGCAGCGACGCCGCGUGAGUGAUGAAGGCCUUAGGGUCGUAAAGCUCUGUUGAAUGGGAAGAAAAAAAUGACGGUACCAUUCGAGGAAGGACCGGCUAACUUCGUGCCAGCAGCCGCGGUAAUACGAGGGGUCCUAGCGUUGUUCGGAAUCAUUGGGCGUAAAGGGUGUGUAGGUGGCCAUGUAAGUCAGGUGUGAAAGCCCCGGGCUCAACCCGGGAAGUGCACUUGAUACUGCGUGGCUUGAGUACCGAAGAGGGUAGUGGAAUUCCAGGUGUAGUGGUGAAAUACGUAGAUAUCUGGAGGAACACCGGUGGCGAAGGCGGCUACCUGGUCGAGUACUGACACUGAGGUGCGAAAGCGUGGGGAGCAAACAGGAUUAGAAACCCCUGUAGUCC